RNAcentral lists this ribosomal RNA (465 nucleotides) under uncultured bacterium. Its description in RNAcentral is "partial 16S ribosomal RNA". It matches the Rfam family "Bacterial small subunit ribosomal RNA", at positions 28 to 507 of the family's 1533-position model. The record is from RNAcentral.
GACGAACGCUGGCGGCGUGCUUAACACAUGCAAGUCGAACGGAAAGGCCCCUUUGGGGGUACUCGAGUGGCGAACGGGUGAGUAACACGUGAGUAACCUGCCCUUGACUUCGGGAUAACUUCAGGAAACUGGGGCUAAUACCGGAUAGGAAUCCUUGCUGCAUGGUGGGGGUUGGAAAGCUUCGGCGGUUUUGGAUGGACUCGCGGCUUAUCAGCUUGUUGGUGGGGUAGUGGCUUACCAAGGCUUUGACGGGUAGCCGGCCUGAGAGGGCGACCGGCCACAUUGGGACUGAGAUACGGCCCAGACUCCUACGGGAGGCAGCAGGGGGGAAUAUUGCACAAUGGGCGGAAGCCUGAUGCAGCAACGCCGCGUGCGGGAGGACGGCCUUCGGGUUGUAAACCGCGUUCAGCAGGGGCGAAGCUUGUGGUGACGGUACCUGCAGAAGAAGCACCGGCUAACUACGUG